GAUGAACGCUGACAGAAUGCUUAACACAUGCAAGUCAACUUGAAUUUGGGUUUUUAACUUAGGUUUGGGUGGCGGACGGGUGAGUAACGCGUAAAGAACUUGCCUCACAGCUAGGGACAACAUUUGGAAACGAAUGCUAAUACCUAAUAUUAUGAUAAUAGGGCAUCCUAUAAUUAUGAAAGCUAUAAGCGCUGUGAGAGAGCUUUGCGUCCCAUUAGCUAGUUGGAGAGGUAACGGCUCACCAAGGCGAUGAUGGGUAGCCGGCCUGAGAGGGUGAUCGGCCACAAGGGGACUGAGGCACGGCCCUUACUCCUACGGGAGGCAGCAGUGGGGAAUAUUGGACAAUGGACCGAGAGUCUGAUCCAGCAAUUCUGCGUGCACGAUGAAGUUUUUCGGAAUGUAAAGUGCUUUCAGUUGGGAAGAAACAAAUGACGGUACCAACAGAAGAAGUGACGGCUAAAUACGUG
Molecule: ribosomal RNA, 467 nt
Filed under: uncultured bacterium
Lineage: Bacteria
Description: partial 16S ribosomal RNA
Rfam family: Bacterial small subunit ribosomal RNA
Source: RNAcentral